UACGUAGGUGGCAAGCGUUAUCCGGAAUUAUUGGGCGUAAAGCGUGCGCAGGCGGUUUUGUAAGCCAGAUGUGAAAUCCCCGGGCUUAACCUGGGAAUGGCAUUUGGGACUGCAAGGCUUGAGUGCGGCAGAGGAGACUGGAAUUCCUGGUGUAGCAGUGAAAUGCGUAGAUAUCAGGAGGAACACCGAUGGCGAAGGCAGGUCUCUGGGCUGACACUGACGCUCAUGCACGAAAGCGUGGGGAGCAAACAGG
RNAcentral lists this ribosomal RNA (253 nucleotides) under uncultured bacterium. RNAcentral's name for it is "partial 16S ribosomal RNA". It matches the Rfam family "Bacterial small subunit ribosomal RNA", at positions 524 to 776 of the family's 1533-position model. The record is from RNAcentral.